GGCCCGCCGAAAGGCCGGCC
This 20-nucleotide unclassified non-coding RNA is filed under the name synthetic construct. The record is from RNAcentral.